This 60-nucleotide microRNA precursor is filed under the name Gallus gallus (chicken). RNAcentral's name for it is "Gga-Mir-1774_pre stem-loop". The record is from RNAcentral. Lineage: Eukaryota; Metazoa; Chordata; Aves; Galliformes; Phasianidae.
AGCAGGGGCGCCAGCAGGAGGUGCUUGUUCUCAUGUCUGCCCCUGCUGAGGUUCUGCUUC